RNAcentral lists this ribosomal RNA (404 nucleotides) under uncultured Longilinea sp. RNAcentral describes it as "bacterial SSU rRNA". It matches the Rfam family "Bacterial small subunit ribosomal RNA", at positions 355 to 775 of the family's 1533-position model. The record is from RNAcentral. Lineage: Bacteria; Bacillati; Chloroflexota; Anaerolineae; Anaerolineales; Anaerolineaceae.
UAGGGAAUAUUGGUUAAUGUGCGAAAGCGCGAACCAGCAACGCCGCGUGUGCGAUGAAGGCCUUCGGGUCGUAAAGCACUUUUUGCAGGGAAGAGGAAGGACGGUACCUGCAGAAUAAGUCUCGGCUAACUACGUGCCAGCAGCCGCGGUAAAACGUAGGAGACGAGCGUUAUCCGGAUUUACUGGGCGUAAAGCGCGUGCAGGCGGCAUGGCAAGUUGGAUGUGAAAGCUCCCGGCUUAACUGGGAGAGGUCGUUCAAAACUGCCAAGCUUGAGAGUGGUAGAGGGAAGCGGAAUUCCGGGUGUAGUGGUGAAAUGCGUAGAUAUCCGGAGGAACACCAGUGGCGAAAGCGGCUUCCUGGCCCAUUUCUGACGCUCAGACGCGAAAGCUAGGGUAGCAAACGG